This 414-nucleotide ribosomal RNA is filed under the name uncultured microorganism. Its description in RNAcentral is "bacterial SSU rRNA". It matches the Rfam family "Archaeal small subunit ribosomal RNA", at positions 330 to 746 of the family's 1478-position model. The record is from RNAcentral.
GCGCAGCCGUCGAGAAAACUUCGCAAUGCGCGAAAGCGCGACGAGGGGAUUCCAAGUGCAUGCACUAAGUGUAUGCUUUUCGUGAGUUUAAAACGCUCACGGAAUAAGGGCUGGGUAAGACUGGUGCCAGCCGCCGCGGUAAUACCAGCGGCCCUAGUGGUGAUCGUUAUUAUUGGGCCUAAAGCGUCCGUAGCCGGUCCGGUAAAUCUCUGGGUAAAUCGUUGGGCUUAACUCAGCGAAUUCUGGGGAGACUGCUGGACUUGGGACCGGGAGAGGUCGGAGGUACUCCAGGGGUAGGGGUGAAAUCCUGUAAUCCUUGGGGGACCACCGGUGGCGAAGGCGUCCGACCAGAACGGGUCCGACGGUAAGGGACGAAGCCCUGGGGCGCGAACCGGAUUAGAUACCCGUGUAGUU